Megachile rotundata (alfalfa leafcutting bee) is the source of this 1866-nucleotide RNA transcript. RefSeq lists it as uncharacterized. Lineage: Eukaryota; Metazoa; Arthropoda; Insecta; Hymenoptera; Megachilidae. The record is from RefSeq and is a predicted model, not a curated record.
AACCUAGAAAACGCGUUCGCGGUGUAGCGACGUCACGGGCGCGGGUCACUUGACGGUUUCGAGUAUUUCCAAGCAAUCUCGUAUAUGUACGUACGCGAACGUGGCUAUUUUUGUACAGGCGUUGGAACCGCGAAACACACUCGGCUCGUUUUCACGACUGACUUCUAUCCCCGUUUGCCCUGUCCCCGUCGAACAAUUUCACAUCUUCCUGGCUUAUCGAUGUUUACAAUGUGUCACAACACGAGCGUGUCGCCGCGAGCGCUUUUAGACUUUGGCGCCGGGCCAACGUUGCUACGUGUCCUCUGCCCGAAACUCAGAAAAACCUCUUGUCUCGUCCGCCACGGAUAAAUAACAAACAACGUGGUUAGGUCGCUGGACUUCGCAAAAAAGAAGCGGGAUCACCUUCGCGACGCGUCAAAACAAACUAGAAAUCGCGACUUCCUUUUGUUCUGACGUUCGACGAAUAUCAAGUGUCUACGGAUUUCUGAAAUCGGCGUUAUUCACUCGACGCAAUUGCGGGACUGACUCGAUAGUGGACACAUUUUUGCCUCGGAGCAACACGCGGAUCUCAUUAGUGGACAACGCGGGAGAUGCGAAAGCGGAGCAGCUUGAUUCUCUCAAGAAAAGACCAGUUACGUUUCUGAGUAGAAAUAUAAAGAUAAGACAGUGCCAUUCUACGAUCCGUGCUGCGUGUUUUCACUGUGACACUCCAUCCACUUCUCAGCACAAUGCGAUCACUUCCAACGAGAGUAGAAAACAAUUGACGGAGGAGCGUGAGCUAACAAUGCGGCACUGCGUGCACAUACGUGAUGAAGAGCAACGGCGCGAAGCACAAACUGCGACCGAUGCGUGCGUCUUGACGUCCCGAGAGGAACUGGCGCGUGUCCAAGCCCGAGGAAACAAAACGGAAGAAGAAAAAAAGGAGAAACAAAGUACAUAAAAAUGUGUAACUACCCUACUAUAAACAACGAACGUCGUCGUUCGACCACGAGGAACGACGACGACCAACGACGUUGCUUUGGGCUGACCUAACCCAAUACUAACUGACAAUCGAGUCGCGCUCACUGUAGUCAAACACCCCCCACCAUGACGCUAUGGCUGUCCCUACCACCACGAUCUUUCUAUCCCCACCCUCGUCAGGUUUCUCUACCCUCUCGAAUCGCAACCCUAGAUGCGCGAGUCGCAGAAACGUGCCUCGUCAGGGGAUCAAGCGUGUUGGACGAAGACGAACGACGGGAAGACGUUAAGGGUGCCGCGAGAGGGAUGAUACGGUGAACCUCCAAGAGCGAAGGGGAUGGAACGUGCACGCGUGCUGGGAAAGGAGAAAGAUGGAUCGAAGGGAAAACGACGAGACAGGGUGAACCUGCGACCGUGAUCUUUAAGGAGUGGGGAUGCUUUGCGACUGGAGGGAACAGGACUAUAUUUCUCUCUCUUGUCGCGAUGGACGAGAACGGCCACAGAAGCCGGGUAAUCGAGGAAACCUGUGAGAGAAAAGAUAGAGGGGUGGGAAAGAGGUUGACGAUAUCCCGCAAGUAUAAAGUGAUGCGUACCCCUUCAACGUUUCAGAUGCUGGGAUGGGGUUGGAUCAAACUUGUUUCGGAUAAAAAGAUAAUGGGUUCUCAAAUUUUUUAACACUUUCCUGCGUCGACUUGCAAAUCUGAUGCAUAAAAUCAAUUGCAUUGUUAAAAUGUACAAACCUUUUAGCAUUUUUUAUUUCGAUUCUUAUUGCUCAUGUUACUGGAGAAAGUUCUAAAGUUAUUAACCCUUAAAUAUCAUGAAAGGUUACAUUUUAUUUUGUUAAUGUUAUAUCCAUCCAUCGUUACAGAAUCAUAUAAGGUGUACCAAAAUUGUUAUUCAUUAAUGUAA